CCCGGCACCACCCCCUCCAAAUUCUACUCAGACUUCACCACCCUGGCCCCUGGGGUACAAGCGUGGUUCAGGCUAAGCCAGAGUCCCUCGCUGAGAUGUUACCUCUAAAGCCAUCAGCCAGGAGAGGAAAAGUGGCUUCCAUUGGUUACAAGGUUGUAAGGGGAGAACUAGGAGUGCCCCAAGGCCAUAUUCUGGCCUUAGUGGGCAGCCAGCUUGAGAGAAAGAAAGAGAAAACCAUGCUGAAGAAAGCCAGGCAGGGACAGAUGGACAGAUAGAGUUUAAGUCGCUGGCCUGCCAGGGCUCCCCAGGGCCAGCUCUAGUGUGGCACUUUCCUCAGAGCAGUUACAUGAGACAAUAUAGUCCCUCCCUUUUCCUUUUAGCUAGGGUGGGUCCUGUCCCCACCUGUGUAGGCAGAGGAGCCCUGAGCAAUGAGCACACUGCACUUAUUCAGCGGCAGCUGAAGUGAUUCAGGAGGAUGGCCUUGAAGGUUGUGGAGGAGAGAGAGCAUCCAGGGCGAAGACGACGACGUGAAAGAAGGCUCUAGGGGCUGGGCAUUGUGACUCACGCCUGUAAUCCCAGCAGUUUGGGAGGCUGAGAAUCAACACCUCCCUCUGUCACCCAGGCUGGAAGUGCAAUGGUGUGAUCAUAGCUCACUGCAACCUCAAACUCCUGGCCUCAAGCCAUCCGCCUACCUCAGCUCCCAAGUAGCUUGGGAUUACAGGUGUGAGCCACAUCACUGUGCUCCCCAUUGUUAAUAUGUUGAGACUCUUACUCUGGGAGGAGGAGUGGCAACUAAAGGACCCCAAAUCUCUACUUCUUGGGACCUGUAUUUGACACUCCAUCCAGCAGCUUCUGAAUUUCACACCUGAUAAAAGCAGGGGUUCUGGAUGUUCUCACGGCAACCCCAAUUUACACCCAAGAAGGGGCCUUCUGGGUGGCCACCUGGAUCCUGGGUGCUUUUCCCUGGGCAGUGUUUAUGCCAAAGGCCUGCUUGCAGCCUGGAUCUGCUGUGCCCUGAGCCCGCCCUCCUCCCCUCCGCGCCCCACCCCACCCCAGAAGAGCCUCUGCUCUUCCUGCCCUUCUCCUUCCUGCUGCGCCAAGGUGGAGCCCAGCUGCCUCCGCACCCAGCCCUCUGUGACUCAGUGGAAGCCAGUGGCCACUUCCCCCUCCCACCCACCCACACUCACAUUCCAACGGCCAGCUCACUUGCUUCUUGGCACUCAAACUGCACCCACCAGGCCUCUGACUAAAUAGUCAUCUCUUUACGGGACAAUUUAUGACCAGGGCCAGCCCAGUAUGGGAAGAGGUCACGUGUAUCUUACCCUCUGAGCACACUCCUUUUGCUCCACAGCUAAUGACUGACCUCUGUGGAUCUUUCCUUCUGGCCCCUGGCUGACCUGGGGCAUUUUAUUUAGGAGAACUAGAGUCUUAGCCUUUAGUGUUGUACCUAACACAGUGCUGACUCAAUGCAUCUUUGAAUAA
This 1482-nucleotide long non-coding RNA is filed under the name Homo sapiens (human). RNAcentral describes it as "HSALNT0303017". The record is from RNAcentral. Lineage: Eukaryota; Metazoa; Chordata; Mammalia; Primates; Hominidae.